ACGAAGGGGGCUAGCGUUGCUCGGAAUUACUGGGCGUAAAGGGCGCGUAGGCGGCUUGGCCAGUCAGGCGUGAAAUUCCUGGGCUUAACCUGGGGACUGCGCUUGAUACUGCCAGGCUUGAGGCCGAGAGAGGGUGGUGGAAUUCCCAGUGUAGAGGUGAAAUUCGUAGAUAUUGGGAAGAACACCGGUGGCGAAGGCGACCACCUGGCUCGGUACUGACGCUGAGGCGCGACAGCGUGGGGAGCAAACAG
RNAcentral lists this ribosomal RNA (251 nucleotides) under uncultured prokaryote. RNAcentral describes it as "partial 16S ribosomal RNA". It matches the Rfam family "Bacterial small subunit ribosomal RNA", at positions 525 to 775 of the family's 1533-position model. The record is from RNAcentral.